GAUGAACGCUGGCGGCGUGCCUAAUACAUGCAAGUCGAGCGAACGGACGAGAAGCUUGCUUCUCUGAUGUUAGCGGCGGACGGGUGAGUAACACGUGGAUAACCUACCUAUAAGACUGGGAUAACUUCGGGAAACCGGAGCUAAUACCGGAUAAUACUUUGAACCGCAUGGUUCAAAAGUGAAAGACGGUCUUGCUGUCACUUAUAGAUGGAUCCGCGCUGCAUUAGCUAGUUGGUAAGGUAACGGCUUACCAAGGCAACGAUGCAUAGCCGACCUGAGAGGGUGAUCGGCCACACUGGAACUGAGACACGGUCCAGACUCCUACGGGAGGCAGCAGUAGGGAAUCUUCCGCAAUGGGCGAAAGCCUGACGGAGCAACGCCGCGUGAGUGAUGAAGGUCUUCGGAUCGUAAAACUCUGUUAUUAGGGAAGAACAUAUGUGUAAGUAACUGUGCACAUCUUGACGGUACCUAAUCAGAAAGCCACGGCUAACUACGUGCCAGCAGCCGCGGUAAUACGUAGGUGGCAAGCGUUAUCCGGAAUUAUUGGGCGUAAAGCGCGCGUAGGCGGUUUUUUAAGUCUGAUGUGAAAGCCCACGGCUCAACCGUGGAGGGUCAUUGGAAACUGGAAAACUUGAGUGCAGAAGAAGAAAGUGGAAUUCCGUGUGUAGCGGUGAAAUGCGCAGAGAUAUGGAGGAACACCAGUGGCGAAGGCAACUUUCUGGUCUGUAACUGACGCUGAUGUGCGAAAGCGUGGGGAUCAAACAGGAUUAAAUACCCUGGUAGUCCACGCCGUAAACGAUGAGUGCUAAGUGUUAGGGGGUUUCCGCCCCUUAGUGCUGCAGCUAACGCAUUAAGCACUCCGCCUGGGGAGUACGACCGCAAGGUUGAAACUCAAAGGAAUUGACGGGGACCCGCACAAGCGGUGGAGCAUGUGGUUUAAUUCGAAGCAACGCGAAGAACCUUACCAAAUCUUGACAUCCUUUGACAACUCUAGAGAUAGAGCCUUCCCCUUCGGGGGACAAAGUGACAGGUGGUGCAUGGUUGUCGUCAGCUCGUGUCGUGAGAUGUUGGGUUAAGUCCCGCAACGAGCGCAACCCUUAAGCUUAGUUGCCAUCAUUAAGUUGGGCACUCUAAGUUGACUGCCGGUGACAAACCGGAGGAAGGUGGGGAUGACGUCAAAUCAUCAUGCCCCUUAUGAUUUGGGCUACACACGUGCUACAAUGGACAAUACAAAGGGCAGCGAAACCGCGAGGUCAAGCAAAUCCCAUAAAGUUGUUCUCAGUUCGGAUUGUAGUCUGCAACUCGACUACAUGAAGCUGGAAUCGCUAGUAAUCGUAGAUCAGCAUGCUACGGUGAAUACGUUCCCGGGUCU
Molecule: ribosomal RNA, 1372 nt
Filed under: uncultured bacterium
Lineage: Bacteria
Description: bacterial SSU rRNA
Rfam family: Bacterial small subunit ribosomal RNA
Source: RNAcentral